Styela clava is the source of this 318-nucleotide non-coding RNA. The record is from RefSeq and is a predicted model, not a curated record. Lineage: Eukaryota; Metazoa; Chordata; Ascidiacea; Stolidobranchia; Styelidae.
CAGAGACGUGGGAAAGUACAAGAAUUUUGCUUAAAAGGAAUGGAGCAAAUGAGGAUUAUCAUAAUGGAAUCUUAGAAAACUACAGAAACACAAUAAGUUGUAACAUCGAAAUUACUGCUACUGGAAUUGCUGAAAAAGCGUGAGAAGAGUUGUCAAGAUUAUAGAUCAAAAAUGAAAAUAUUUAUUGCCGUGGUAUUGAUGUCGAUGUUAUAUUCUGGAGAGGUUUCAUCGUUGAAUGGAUGGAUGAAGAAUCUAGCUGGAGAUGGCUAGAUGAACAUUGUAAAAAACUUGGUGUGCUGGCAGUAACUGACAAUCCAA